UGGGGAAUAUUGGACAAUGGGCGAAAGCCUGAUCCAGCAAUGCCGCGUGUGUGAAGAAGGCCUUCGGGUUGUAAAGCACUUUAAGUUGGGAAGAAAAAGCUUCGACUAAUAUUCGGAGCCUUGACGGUACCGACAGAAUAAGCACCGGCUAACUCUGUGCCAGCAGCCGCGGUAAUACAGAGGGUGCGAGCGUUAAUCGGAUUUACUGGGCGUAAAGCGUGCGUAGGCGGUUUGAUAAGUCGAUUGUGAAAGCCCCGGGCUUAACCUGGGAACUGCAGUCGAUACUGUCAGACUCGAGAACGGUAGAGGGAGGCGGAACUCCAGGUGUAGCGGUGAAAUGCGUAGAUAUCUGGAAGAACACCGAUGGCGAAGGCAACCUCCUGGGCCUGUUCUGACGCUG
Molecule: ribosomal RNA, 400 nt
Filed under: uncultured bacterium
Lineage: Bacteria
Description: bacterial SSU rRNA
Rfam family: Bacterial small subunit ribosomal RNA
Source: RNAcentral